UCAGCAGCCGCGGUAAAACGUAGGAGCCAAGCGUUAUCCGAAUUCACUGGGCGUAAAGCGUGUGCAGGCGGUAUGGUAAGUUGGAUGUGAAAUCUCCUGGCUCAACUGGGAGAGGCCGUUCAAUACUGCCAAACUAGAGGGCAACAGAGGGAGGUGGAAUUCCCGGUGUAGUGGUGAAAUGCGUAGAUAUCGGGAGGAACACCAGUGGCGAAAGCGGCCUCCUGGGUUGCACCUGACGCUCAGACACGAAAGCUAGGGGAGCGAACGGGAUUAGAAACCCCGGUAGUCCUAGCCGUAAACGAUGUAGACUUGGUGUUGGAGGGGUAAAAGCCUUCGGUGCCGAAGCAAACGCGAUAAGUCUACCGCCUGGGGACUACGGCCGCAAGGUUAAAACUCAAAGGAAUUGACGGGGGCCCGCACA
Molecule: ribosomal RNA, 421 nt
Filed under: uncultured bacterium
Lineage: Bacteria
Description: bacterial SSU rRNA
Rfam family: Bacterial small subunit ribosomal RNA
Source: RNAcentral